Long non-coding RNA from Hippocampus zosterae (dwarf seahorse), 1220 nucleotides. RefSeq lists it as uncharacterized. The transcript is spliced from 3 exons. Lineage: Eukaryota; Metazoa; Chordata; Actinopteri; Syngnathiformes; Syngnathidae. The record is from RefSeq and is a predicted model, not a curated record.
AGUGGGAUAUUUGGGUUUUCAAGGAGCCUUUCUUUAAAAAGGAGCGAUUUAUUUUAUGUUAAAACUAUAUAGCCAAAGCAGUCACCCUGGCGGGUCAACGGGUGGCGCUCGUGUGCAAAACACCGUGGAACAAGCAGCGGUAGAAGAAGGUUGGCCCGGAUUGGCCGACGUGACGUCAGGCUAGCAAAUGAAUUGGAGUCAGGUGUGCGGGAGGAAUUUAAUCGAGCGCGGUGCACAGCUGCGGCAAGAUGGCGACCGAGCGAGCACACGAGCAAAUGUUUGUCGCUUGUCGGCCUUUCUCACGAUGUCCUUUUGUUUGUUCCCCGAUUUGCAGCGUAGGUGGUGGGACUGCAGGACGCCACGACCCGUUCGCCUUUCCCUUGAUGUCGUGCAUUGUGCUCUUCGUUUCUCUUGCCGCGUUUUCAACUUUUGGGGGGUUUGUUUUAAAGCUGGCCAGCUUUUUUUUUUUUUUUUUUUUUUUUAAAUUGUUGCAAAUGACAAAACCGAUGUCUUUGUGAAUUGAACAGUGAAAGGUUUGGGUUUGUUUGUUUGACCAAAUGUUUGAACGUUUCUUCUCAGGUUGUACGCACUUAUUUCUCUGAUUCAUGUCUGGUUUGAUGAAGUUUACUGUCUUGGUCAAAAAUGUUUGGGGUUUUUUUUUUCCCUUCAGCCAGUAUGAGGAAGCCCAAUUGCAUGUCUAACCCCGUCCCCCCCCCCCCCCCCCUUUGCAGGUUAUUCACCAAUGUCCUCCGCUGUUCUAUAAACGUGAAUAUUAUUGUGGAAGCCUGAAUCGUUUCACGAAUGCACAUUUUCAGCGCUUUCUGCUCCAAACACAGCCCAAAGUCCAUCUUCAUUCGUCCACUUGCGGGCUGCGAGAGGCAACAAGAUCCAUGAGGCGAGAGUAGGAGGACCAACGGUUUGAGUCGUGAGACCUGCAGAACCCGAGUGUUUUUCAUUUUGUUUUUUUUUUGGGGGGGACAGGAUGCGCCAGCGAAUUAGAGCAGCAUGAAGACGAAUAGAAGAGGAGCCCAAUGAAUUGGAGGAGCGUGCGAAGGGCUCACAUGGAGCUGAAUGGAAUGAGAACAAGGAGCAGUUCCACAAACGAAGCGAAGCGAGCGGCACACCGAUGAGGAUCAUCCGUCCGCGGGCUGCCUGAAAAUGCUGAACAGGAGGGGCCAGAGUAUUGAGCUUUGGGGGAUGCCUCAUGGUUUGCGUGGGUU